This 468-nucleotide ribosomal RNA is filed under the name uncultured bacterium. Its description in RNAcentral is "partial 16S ribosomal RNA". It matches the Rfam family "Bacterial small subunit ribosomal RNA", at positions 28 to 507 of the family's 1533-position model. The record is from RNAcentral.
GACGAACGCUGGCGGCGUGCUUAACACAUGCAAGUCGAACGGAAAGGCCCUGCUUUUGUGGGGUGCUCGAGUGGCGAACGGGUGAGUAACACGUGAGUAACCUGCCCUUGACUUUGGGAUAACUUCAGGAAACUGGGGCUAAUACCGGAUAGGAGCUCCUGCUGCAUGGUGGGGGUUGGAAAGUUUCGGCGGUUGGGGAUGGACUCGCGGCUUAUCAGCUUGUUGGUGGGGUAGUGGCUUACCAAGGCCUUGACGGGUAGCCGGCCUGAGAGGGUGACCGGCCACAUUGGGACUGAGAUACGGCCCAGACUCCUACGGGAGGCAGCAGUGGGGAAUAGUGCACAAUGGGCGGAAGCCUGAUGCAGCAACGCCGCGUGCGGGAUGACGGCCUUCGGGUUGUAAACCGCUUUCGCCUGUGACGAAGCGUGAGUGACGGUAAUGGGUAAAGAAGCACCGGCUAACUACGUG